UCACGAUAAUCGCAAACUUACCAAAAGGUGGGGACGCAAAGCUAUGGGUCUAAGGGAAGGAAAUUCUUAUGAUUGCCAGGUUGCCGAA
This 88-nucleotide non-coding RNA is filed under the name Geosporobacter subterraneus. RNAcentral describes it as "c-di-GMP sequence". It matches the Rfam family "c-di-GMP-I riboswitch aptamer". From Rfam's summary of the family: GEMM was predicted in a large-scale screen for bacterial structured RNA regulatory elements. Genes associated with GEMM are involved in a diverse array of functions, including chemotaxis regulation, signal transduction, secretion and chitin. Lineage: Bacteria; Bacillati; Bacillota; Clostridia; Peptostreptococcales; Thermotaleaceae. The record is from RNAcentral. RNAcentral also lists the same sequence under 1 other name.